CAAUAGCGUAUAUUUAAGUUGUUGCAGUUAAAAAGCUCGUAGUUGGAUUUCGGGUGGGACGCAGCGGUCUCACAUUGCGUUUGUACUGCUGCAGCCCUCCUUCUUGCCGGGGGCGGCCUCUCGGACUUCACUGUCUGGGGGUCAGAAUCGGCGAUGUUACUUUGAGUAAAUUAGAGUGUUCAAAGCAAGCUUACGCUCUGAAUAUAAUAGCAUGGGAUAACACGACAGGACUCUGGCCUAUCGUGUUGGUCUAUAGGACCAGAGUAAUGAUUAAGAGGGACAGUCGGGGGCAUUCGUAUUCCGUUGUCAGAGGUGAAAUUCUUGGAUUUACGGAAGACGAACAUCUGCGAAAGCAUUUGCCAAGGAUGUUUUCAUUGA
This 378-nucleotide ribosomal RNA is filed under the name uncultured eukaryote. RNAcentral describes it as "partial 18S ribosomal RNA". It matches the Rfam family "Eukaryotic small subunit ribosomal RNA", at positions 592 to 976 of the family's 1831-position model. The record is from RNAcentral.